RNAcentral lists this ribosomal RNA (465 nucleotides) under uncultured bacterium. RNAcentral's name for it is "bacterial SSU rRNA". It matches the Rfam family "Bacterial small subunit ribosomal RNA", at positions 29 to 506 of the family's 1533-position model. The record is from RNAcentral.
AUGAACGCUGGCGGCGUGCUUACCACAUGCAAGUCGAACGAUGACCCCCAGCUUGCUGGGGUGAUUAGUGGCGAACGGGUGAGUAACACGUGAGUAACCUGCCCCUGACUCUGGGAUACGCCCGGGAAACUGGGUCUAAUACUGGAUAUGCACCGUAAGCCGCAUGGCUUUUGGUGGAAAGAUUUUUUGGUCAGGGAUGGACUCGCGGCCUAUCAGCUUGUUGGUGAGGUAAUGGCUCACCAAGGCGACGACGGGUAGCCGGCCUGAGAGGGUGACCGGCCACACUGGGACUGAGACACGGCCCAGACGCCUACGGGAGGCAGCAGUGGGGAAUAUUGCACAAUGGGCGAAAGCCUGAUGCAGCGACGCCGCGUGAGGGAUGACGGCCUUCGGGUUGUAAACCUCUUUCAGUAGGGAAGAAGCGAAAGUGACGGUACCUGCAGAAGAAGCGCCGGCUAACUACGU